GAGAUUGUGGCUCAGUGGUAGAGCACUCACCUAGCAUGUGAGAGGCACAGGGUUCGAUUCUCAGCAUCACA
This 71-nucleotide transfer RNA is filed under the name Marmota monax (woodchuck). RNAcentral describes it as "tRNA.Ala". It matches the Rfam family "tRNA". Rfam says of the family: Transfer RNA (tRNA) molecules are approximately 80 nucleotides in length. Their secondary structure includes four short double-helical elements and three loops (D, anti-codon, and T loops). The record is from RNAcentral. Lineage: Eukaryota; Metazoa; Chordata; Mammalia; Rodentia; Sciuridae.